Molecule: ribosomal RNA, 253 nt
Filed under: uncultured bacterium
Lineage: Bacteria
Description: partial 16S ribosomal RNA
Rfam family: Bacterial small subunit ribosomal RNA
Source: RNAcentral
UACGAAGGGGGCUAGCGUUGCUCGGAAUUACUGGGCGUAAAGCGCACGUAGGCGGCUCUUUAAGUCGGGGGUGAAAUCCUGGAGCUCAACUCCGAGCCUGCUUCCGAUACGGGCAGACUAGAGGUAGGCAGGGGAGAGCGGAACUCCUGGUGUAGCGGUGGAAUGCGCAGAUAUCAGGAAGAACACCGGUGGCGAAGGCGGCUCUCUGGGACGGUAUUGACGCUGAGACGCGAAAGCGUGGGGAGCAAACAGG